Molecule: ribosomal RNA, 490 nt
Filed under: uncultured bacterium
Lineage: Bacteria
Description: partial 16S ribosomal RNA
Rfam family: Bacterial small subunit ribosomal RNA
Source: RNAcentral
AUUGAACGCUGGCGGCAGGCUUAACACAUGCAAGUCGAGCGGUAGCACAGGGGAGCUUGCUCCCUGGGUGACGAGCGGCGGACGGGUGAGUAAUGUCUGGGGAACUGCCUGAUGGAGGGGGAUAACUACUGGAAACGGUAGCUAAUACCGCAUAACGUCGCAAGACCAAAGAGGGGGACCUUCGGGCCUCUUGCCAUCAGAUGUGCCCAGAUGGGAUUAGCUAGUAGGUGGGGUAAUGGCUCACCUAGGCGACGAUCCCUAGCUGGUCUGAGAGGAUGACCAGCCACACUGGAACUGAGACACGGUCCAGACUCCUACGGGAGGCAGCAGUGGGGAAUAUUGCACAAUGGGCGCAAGCCUGAUGCAGCCAUGCCGCGUGUGUGAAGAAGGCCUUCGGGUUGUAAAGCACUUUCAGCGAGGAGGAAGGUGGUGAGCUUAAUACGUUCAUCAAUUGACGUUACUCGCAGAAGAAGCACCGGCUAACUCCGUG